RNAcentral lists this ribosomal RNA (475 nucleotides) under uncultured bacterium. RNAcentral's name for it is "bacterial SSU rRNA". It matches the Rfam family "Bacterial small subunit ribosomal RNA", at positions 28 to 473 of the family's 1533-position model. The record is from RNAcentral.
GAUGAACGCUGGCGGCAUGCCUAAUACAUGCAAGUCGAACGGGAGGAAGGAAAGCUUGCUUUCCUGAAUCUAGUGGCGAACGGGUGAGUAACGCGUAGGCAACCUGCCCUUAGACGGGGACAACAUUCCGAAAGGAGUGCUAAUACCGGAUGUGAUCAUCUUGCCGCAUGGCAGGAUGAAGAAAGAUGGCCUCUACAAGUAAGCUAUCGCUAAAGGAUGGGCCUGCGUCUGAUUAGCUAGUUGGUAGUGUAACGGACUACCAAGGCGAUGAUCAGUAGCCGGUCUGAGAGGAUGAACGGCCACAUUGGGACUGAGACACGGCCCAAACUCCUACGGGAGGCAGCAGUGGGGAAAUCUUCCGCAAUGGACGAAAGUCUGACGGAGCAACGCCGCGUGAGUGAUGAAGGAUUUCGGUCUGUAAAGCUCUGUUGUUUUAUGACGAACGUGCAGUGUGUGAACAAUGCAUUGCAAUGAC